GGUGGGUUACUCAAGUGGCUGAAGAGGCGGGUUUGCUAAACCUGUAGGGCGCAGCAAUGUGCCGCCGGGGUUCGAAUCCCCGACCCACCGCCA
Molecule: transfer RNA, 93 nt
Filed under: Candidatus Saccharimonadota bacterium
Lineage: Bacteria; Candidatus Saccharimonadota
Also listed under: 1 other name
Description: tRNA-Ser
Rfam family: tRNA
About the family: Transfer RNA (tRNA) molecules are approximately 80 nucleotides in length. Their secondary structure includes four short double-helical elements and three loops (D, anti-codon, and T loops).
Source: RNAcentral